GACUAAUCUUUACAUAAAAAAAACUCUCACAUACUUGUUGUCACUCAAAAAAUAAUUAAUCCCUUGCCUGUCUGAAGCUGAAAACAGUAUUACCUGCAUACUGGGAAUUCAGAGAGUAAGUCAUAGUUUAAAAGAGGUUGCUCCAAAUUGUCUUAUCAACUAAUGCUGCUAUGAAAAAGGGUUACCAAAAGAACAACUGAGGUGACACUGUUUUGUGCAAGAAGAUUUUAUUAACAGACCAGACUUUGAAAAACUGCAGCUGGGCAUCUGAAUCAUUAGUUCAUUCUCCUGAUGAGUCUGUUUAUCUGAUCUUCUCUGUUACCAGCAUCUCCACCCUCCACAAAGUGGAUCGUUUUCUUCUUCAUUCCACCCCGAGGAGAGGAUAACUUGAAGGGCCAAAGGAAGUUGUUCACAACUUUGAAGUUCUUGCCAACAGUAUAAAUUUCAUGGAUCACAUCUUCCAUGCAGAUGAUGCCAAGUUUUCCAAGGCGCUUCCGAAUCAGGGAGUUGUCAGUGAGAGCAAUGCGCUUCUUGUUGAUCUUGCCAUAACCACGCUUGUAGAUCAAAUCAUGCACAGACUUCAGAUUGGGAUAACCCCAUGCAAUAUAGGGCUCAACAAUCCGCAGCAUGUUGAUAGAAGCUUUGUUGAGCUUCACAAAGGUGCCAUUAAAAAUCUGACGCAGGCGAAGAAGCUGUAACACCUUCCGGACCUUGGGGCUCACACCAUUGAUACCUCUUAUCCUGAUGACAAAUGCAAGCUUCGGUUCAGCUGGAACAUAGUAAUUACCGGCUUUCCUGGCCAUCCUGGCCAUGCGGAUCUCCUGUCUGUACAUGUGUCUGUACUCCUUAUGGUAAGCUUUGGCCCUUUCAUAGAUGAUUUUCCUUUGCGCUUUACGAAACUUUUUUUGAGCCAACAGCCUCUUCAAACGUUUGGCUUUUGCGGCUGCAUAAGCCUGUCGCCUCUUCAGGAGGCUUUCCGGGACAGAUGGCACCUUCUUUGCCUCCUUGUCCGCCAUGAUCGGCGCCGGAAGAGAGAGAGCAGGCGCAUGCGCGGGGACAACUCAAGCCGCCUGCCUGCGCGGGCAGGGCCCUGCGCUGCGGAAGGACCCCGCGUUUGGGUGUCCGCGGCGGUGCCGGACCGCGGUGCGGAGCCCGGGGUGGCCCGCGAACGCCUGCGUCGCUUCGGCGUGCGGUGCGUCGCGCGAGCUUUCCGUGCUUCAGCCUUCAGUGCCGCGCUCGACACUGAGGGCACGCGGGGCGCCGCCUCCCGCCGCACAGCACAGCCCUGCGUGGCGCCCCGCAGCGCGCCGGUGUGUGGGAAGUCUCCUCCCGCUGCUCACUGCGAACAUCUCCGCGUGUUCCUAAACCUUAUAUCCCCCCGGUCUCAUCAAAACUAUAACGGGGAAGGUAAAUAACAUCCACCAGCGCCUAUAACACCUAUAAAAUCGGGUGUUAGCGCAGAACCCGUUUUCUCCUCCGGCAGCUGCCGAGCGCCCUCCGCCCUCCUCCGGCGGACCAGCAGCGCGGCGUUCCAGCCGCUGCCUCAAGGUGGCGCUGCAGGGCGCGGGGCGGUGCACGCUGGGACAUGUAGUCGGGGGGCGGGCUCGGCUCGGCCCGGAGUCCGGCCGCGCCGCUCGGGAGGGAGAAGCCGCUGUGGGAGCGCCGCUGCCUGGCGCGGCCGCCGGACCCUCCCCCGGUGGCGGGGCGGGAGAGCGGGGCGAGGAGGGG
This 1728-nucleotide long non-coding RNA is filed under the name Gallus gallus (chicken). Lineage: Eukaryota; Metazoa; Chordata; Aves; Galliformes; Phasianidae. The record is from RNAcentral.